RNAcentral lists this long non-coding RNA (7573 nucleotides) under Musa acuminata (dwarf banana). RNAcentral's name for it is "long non-coding RNA (MACU_LNC003832)". The record is from RNAcentral. Lineage: Eukaryota; Viridiplantae; Streptophyta; Magnoliopsida; Zingiberales; Musaceae.
UGCAGUGUUGAACACUGCGGUUUUGCAGUCUGGAAGAAUGCUGACGGACCAAGCUGGAAUAUGAUACUUCAUUCCGUUGAAAGUAACAGGUGCAUAAGAACGGGAGUUGAAAUUAGAAAGGAAUGCAGCACAAGCGCCUGACUUCGAUCUGUAUACAUGCGCCUGCAAGAAGUCGAACGUAGAAAAGUUCCAAAAUGCCAAAUCAUCGAAAAUAUUCUUGCAAAUUUUACAGCAAGAUAUAAGAAUUGAACCUCCUGAUAUUUUCCGAGAUUUGUCACUGUGGGAUCCCCAGAGACGAGAGCUGGUUCACACGAUUUGAUUGCUUUAUGCAGGUCUGUCAGAUGUCCCCAUUUCGGUUGCCUUAACAGACCUGAGAAAGAUUACAAUAUGUUUAUCACCAGAUAGAGGGAAUGGUAAUAGUCGGCAUCAAAUAGAUUUGUAUUGCAUCAUCAGAUGCUUGACCAAUGAGACUGCACAGUGUCUUCUUCGUAGAAGAGGAACAAGAUUUUAGCACCAAAAAGAAGACAUAGGAAAAGCAUAAGCAAACUGAGUGGGAACUGUAUUACCUCUAAUCUUCUCUUAAUCUUGAAAGAACCCAAGUAUUUGACCUAAAUAAUUCUUUGUGUGUGGUAGAUGAUCAAGCCAACCAUUCAUGCCCUUUUCCCCCACCCACGGACAAACUUCUAAACAAGAUGUUUGAUAUAAUGUUUAUGUAUGUUUGUAUCUUUUGACAUGUUCGCACAACAUAUAGAGGGACGAUCGAAUACUUAAUUACCCCAUUUCAGUUAGGUUUGGUGGUCGCUUUUGGCUUAUAAAUAAAAAUUAUAUUAUGUGGACACUUGCGAGAGAUAUUCGAUCUGUAUUGGACCAUUUUGACCCUUUGUUGUGCAACCAUUCAGAACUUGUAAAGUCAUGUUGAUAAUUUGCAUUGGUUAUGAGGUGUUUUUUGGAAUGUUUGUUUAUGGAUUCCGAGUGAGGCAUUUUCUCUAACUCGUUUUCUCUUUUGUAGGUCCUAAGAGACCAUGGGAGGUUUCGGAAAGACUGACCUUUACGGACGGACACACAAGGGUAUUGCACAACUUUGGCAAAGCCAACUAACCUCAUUUUAGUUAGGUUUGGUGGCCGUUUUAGGCUUAUAAAUAAAAAUUGUAUUAUGUGGACACUUGCGAGAGAUAUUCGGUCUGUAUUGGAUCAUUUUGACUCUUUGUUGUGCAACCGUUCAAAACUUGUAAAGUCUGUUGAUAAUUUGCAUUGGCUAUGAGGUGUUUUUUGGAAUGUUUGCUGAUGGAUUCUGAGUGAGGCGUUUUCUCUAACCCAUUUUCUCUUUUGUAGGUCUUAAGAGACCAUGAGAGGUUUUGGAGAGGCUGACUUUUGCGAACGGAUAUGCAAGAGUACCGCACGACUUAAACAAAACCAACUAAAUCCAUCAUCAAAAGCAUGACCUCCAACGGGGCGAAUUCAUAAGAAGUCACAAGUUAGACCAAAACCAUAUCAUUACAACGUGAAAAUUAUUACAAAUGUUAGAAAAAUGGCAUACCGUAUUCAUCGAUUGGGGCAUCAUAGUCAUAGCUGGUCGCAAUAAAAGGACCACCAGCCGUCCUACCGAAGUUGGUUCCUCCAUGGUACUGCAGUUGACGUAAACAUGCAAAUUCGUUUACUUCAACAUGAUGGACAGCAAUCAGUAAUUACUGAAACAACUGAGGUAGAACAUACAAUUUCUUACCAUAUAGUAGUUAACGAAGGAACCACCUUUCGCUAUAAACCUUGCGACAGCAAAAGCCAUGUCCUGAACAGGCCGGUGAGGAACUGGACCCCCGAAACCAGUGAACCUAUUAACAUAGAAUACAUAGAAUAAAUUCACUGGAUAGAUUAAUUUCUUGUGAAAAUUUAUAUGAAUUCAAAUGUGAAGAAGUAGCGGUUACCAGCCAGUCCAAGCUUCAGUCCACAUGGUCGGUUUAUAAGGCUUGUUUGGUGAGAAGUAAUCGCAGUAGAACCCAUUGCAGGCAUUGAUCUUUAAAGACAAAAGCCCAAAAAAAGAGAUCACAAUAAGUCACCCAAGCUGGUCUAACAUGCAACUACAAACCCUCUAAUUAGGGCAGCUGGAAUUUAAGUAGAUAAAAGUCAUGUUGGACUUGACAAGGUAGAGAAGGAACAUGAACUUGGGGUUCUUCCUGAUGUGGUAGAACAAGAAAACCGAAAGCUUGGACUUACCACUGGAUCAGGUGCAUCAUCUUGCUUGCACAUGACCCACGGCACACCGGUGUUGAGACCCACUGCCAUUUGAGCAGCCCAGCUUAGGUAGUUCUUGGCUGCAGCGCCGUCAUAGUACUCCUGUAUACUAUAUUCGUUUUCAAUCUGCUCAAGUUAGACAAAGAGCAUGGAAGAACAGAAAGCGAAUUAGAUGAGAUCUUUGGGAGCUGAUCAACUCGAUGACACAUAAAAGCUAACGAAUUGAUGAAAGCAAAGAAGGAAUGGAUUCGAUGAUACCUGAGAGAGGAUAAUGGGACCACCCUGUGAUUCAAAUAAUCCUUCAGACUUCAUCAUGGCGACAAUCUUCUCUGUGAACUUCGCCAUGGCCGCCUUUUACAUGAAUAGACCAAUUAGCAAUUGCUCGGUUAGAGGAGAUCGAGUAUAAACAUGUAAAGAGAAGUUCCUGUGGAUUCUUACCUUGAAAGGUCCAUUGUCGCUCCUGAAAGUGAUGCCAGGAACAUAUUUUAACCAGACAGGAAAUCCCCUGUUUUACAAAGACAAGAUGAACAACAGAACAGCAUCAUCAGAUUGCAUGAUUAGGCUUUUGAUUCCACAUAGAAGAAUUAAUUGAAGACCUCGACCUCGUACCCAAAGUUCCAUUCGGCACAAACAUAAGGACCAAUCCGGAGAUGAACAUAGAGGCCGGCCUGCUUCACCAGCUUGAUGAAGCGAACCAGGUCGUAAUUACCACCAAAAUAAUACUGCCAAAGAUCAAGAAAAGCAACAAAUUGAGGCACACUAUGGGAAGGAGCAGUAGCCUUAGACGAGAGGGCUGGGAAAGGUUGGGUGAUCUCCGAACCUGGCCAGGGGACGGCUCGUGGCCGUUCCAGAACACAUAGGUCUGGAUAACAUCCAAGCCGCCAUCUUUAGCCUUCUGGAUGAGAUCCGGCCACAUCUGGAGACGAUCCAAUCGACAAAGUUCAGGUUUUGACGCGGUAGAAUAACAGUGCACGAACAGCUCACCAAAAAGGCCACAUUUCCCACAGAAUUGGAGACCUUACCUCCGGGGUGCUCCUGGGAUAGUGAAUGGAACCGGAGAUUAGAAUCCUCCUCUGCCCAUUGACGAUGAUAGCCUUGUGGUCGUAGGAAACGGAGGCAUCGACCGGAGAGGAAUGCCACGGAGACGACACCACCACCAACGCCACCGCCAGUAGCAGCAGCGUCGACAGUCCGCGGCCGCACCCAAGCGUUAUAAGCUCGAGGCUCAUGGUGGCCGGUCGGUCUUACCUUCAGAGGAGUCUCCUUUAGUGUUCUGGAUGUAUAAUAUGUGAAUGAUGGAGAUUCGUGCGCGCUGUUCUUCCGUCUUCUCCUCCGCUAGAGAAGUUCCGACGGAACUAUUGAGCAGUAGCGUUACUGCAACAAGCACACACCGAGGAAGAGAGAGGGAGAUCAAAGAGGAGGGAGGGAAGAGGGCGGACGUGGAGUGGGAGCGCGGGGGCGGGGAGGACGGGGGAGGGCGAUGUGCCUCUUGCGGUAUAAAUACCCGACGGGCGCAAGCGAGCACAGGAUUGGCGCUGGAAUACGCGGGUCCCAAAGCGCCAGCCACGUCAACGUUUUCUUCCAUUCCCCCUGAACAGGAAAAAAUCAAAUGGACCGAAGCGUGGGGCCAUCUGCUUGUAAGAAAGUGGACCAAUUAAGAUAAAGCUUUGAUAGUUGGCAAGGAUCGACAGAGUCAAAAUAUUUUGUUAAAAUUAUUAUUUGAGAAAAUUAGGACAGAUAGGUUAUGUGGAAUAAUAUUAGAAACUAAUAAUAUUAGUUUAGUUUUGUAAGAAAAUUUUAUGUUGAUGAUAUUUUUUAGUUGUCUAAUAUAUCGAUAUACAUUAUGAUAGUAAGCGAGUUAGAUAACAUAUCCAUAACCAUGAUAUAAAUAUUUUUUUAUAAAAUUACAUAUACAUGAUAUACCUAAAGGGUUUGAUGAGAUAUAUCAUAUUAUUAUUUUAUUAUGUGAAUAACAAUUUUUUUAUAUGUUAAUUUAGUUUCACAUAAGAAAUGUAUAAAGAUUUAGAUAAGAGUAUGAUAAUUGUACCAUUCUUAUCGUGAGUUUAGAGGGAUUUAACUCAAAGUAUCUCUCUCAGACGAAGAUUAUAUAUGUGGCAGAUAAGGCUAAGCCAGAUAGGAGAGAAAGGUAUGUUUUUAAAUAAAUAAAGCUUUUUAAGCAAUGGAAUAUUGUCAAAAUUAAAAUAAUAUGAAUACUAUAUUUUUGAAAAGCAAAUAAAGUUUCUUGAGUUGUAAUGAUAUCCAUUUUAAGCAAAUAUAAUUGCUGCAUUAUAUUUUUAAUGUCGAUGCCAAUAUUUAUAGUCACUGAUUAAAACAUGCCACAUAUAAUAUUUUCUUUCAAUACCAGAAAGAUAUUUAUAGUAUGAAUGAAAGGAUAAAUUUAGCUGAAUAUGGAACAUGAUGAACCAUAUCAUAACCAAUCCUCAAUUGAACUAAAACUUAAUCCUUACAGAAAUAGUUUGUAAUCAUCCUAAACUGGUCUAAAUAGAUUUCUAUUUUAGAUUAAACUGGCCUAGACAGUGCCUGACCCAGUCUGAUCCUUGAUAAGUGGUCAAGCCAAGCUACUGAAAUGUUGACCUCUGUGUUUGUAACUCAUGAUGAAAUUCUAAGUGACAUUAACAGUUUCUUCUUUAUAGUUGAUAAAUCAUUGUCAUCUCUUUCUAAAAAUAAAAAUAAAAAAAGCUGGGAAUAAAAAUAUCUAUAACAAUGCCUUUUUCCUGGCACCAGAUUGUAUCUUUACCACUAAUUUCUUGUUUCUUGCACUGUUGCACAUGAUCAUCAUGCAUCUUGUUAGACAUCUCAAGUGGUUGCCACAUAGUUCAGAGCUCAGAAGCACAGCCACACAAUUGCAUCAGGAAUCAAAAUGCUUAUAAGCUUUGCAGAAGCAAUGGAAAAGGCAAAGGAUGAUAACUUAAUAUGGAUCAAAAUGCUUAUAAGCUUAAGUAGUACAGAAGCAAAAGCUUAGCUCUUGCAAUUACAAGACCGACCAACCAUUUUGUGUAAACAUGCUAUCCCAAUUGCUAAUAUUAUGUCCACACAUGGACUCAAUAUAUGCAGAAUCCCACGUGCAGUAAGUAAUAUGUUGAGUGCAUCCAAUAUUUUCUAUGCACAUUUACUCACGUAACCAGGCAAUACCUUAAAGUGGGUGUGCAGUUCCUGCAUCUCCACCAAUCACUACUCCACGACUUUGGUUUGUAUAAAUUGACUUUAGUUCAUUUUCUUUACUUGGUCUACCAUCUGUGGUUAUCAUCUGCAGAUGGUUUUGACAGCAAGCUUCUUCAUAGUGCUACUCUUUUCACCAUUGAAAUCCCAGUUGGAUCACCACCCCACUCUUCAAACACAACCAACAAGUUUCCAGUUGGGUUCAGCCAAGCGCGAGGAACAUGAUACCUGAGAUUUGAGGUCAGUAAUCAGUCAUUUAUUCGAUUUUUUCGCAAGCUUAAUGGGGUGGAAAAAAAGGCAGGUGUUUCAUUACCAUUUUUGAGAAGGCUCCCCACAAUUAGUCUGGCAUUUCUUCUCGUUGUAUGUCCCUCUGUAAUCGCACCAAUCACAAGAACCAUAUGCCUUAUAGGCAGGCCAGUAUCUGCCAAUGCUUUGUCCAUUGAUCCAUAUCUGACCUUUGCCCAUGCUACUCAUGUCUAAUGCCAAUGGCUCAUUCCCAGCUGGAGCAUUAAAGAAAGCCUGGAAGAUGAUAAAGAUUAAGUGACACAAUAGUCUCAAACAUGAGAGGAAGGAAGAUGAACUUUAGGAUAACAUGUUUCUGUGUUGCAAGCAGUACUGACCUUGUACCAAGUCAAGGGCUGCUUUGUUGAUGCACCUCCCCACUCAACUGAAGAACUGCCACUAAGUGUAUGGAUGCUCAGGGAUUCACCUCUCAGGCCGAUCUACACACACAAACAUGGAACUCAGUAACCAGUAAGCAAGUUUUAGUCAGAGACUAAUGUAGGUAGGAAGAGUUGAUUGGAACCUGGUAAAUCCAUUUCUGUGAUGAAAGGUCUCUCUUUCCUUCAUUGAGACCUUCCAGAGUCACUGGACCAAGAACACCAGCAUUCCAUGUCUCAAAGUGGUUGCCAACAUUCUGAAACAGAUCAGAGAACAGAAAUCUGAUGUCUCAACAGCCAUCUUGUGUGUAUAAUUGUACAGGGUUAUUUGUAUGAUAUUUCAACUUUUCGAUCAAUGGCCAGGAAAUAUUUCACAACAAAUUAUGUACUCACAGGAAGACCAACAGCGACACUUAGAAUCGAGAUUUUGUUGCUUCCUGCCCACAACUUCACAUUUUCUCUGAAAGUCAGCUUUGGAUUGUCCAAACUACCAGAGACAGUCCCUGCCAGAAGAAAAGAAAGCAAAAGCCAAAUCGGAACCUCACCAAAUGUUGAGCAUAUCAUCAAGAAUCAAUUCUCCACAAGGCAAAGCCACUCACCAGCCCGUUCUCCAUUGAUGAAAACAUGCAUAGAAUGGCCUGCCGACAUCACAGUCAGGAAAGGGUAUCGGCCAUUCUUCAAGAAUUGUUCAUUUGAGUCUAUGUUAACACUGAAGAGUGGAGAUUGUGAGUCAUUGAGUGAUAGAUGUCAUUGAUUCUGUCUCAAAUAGACAAGCUGCAAAGGAACGUCUACUCACUAUGAAGUGUACCACAGGUAGUCUGUCCGAUCCCUUGUCAUGCUUAUCUGCUCCACCAAUCCAUCUUUUGUGAAUGAGUUAUCCCCCAGUGAGUUGGUAUCCUCACUGAAGGACUCCCAAGAAAAUCCACCAACCCAAGUCAUUUUAAUCUGUGAUGUUGGAGCUCCUACCUGUGUAUAUCAUUAGUAACUUUGUGUUAAAGACACUGUCAUGAAAAUUCAACCAUGGAAAUCCUUUUUCAUCCGAGAAAAUUUGGAAUACAUAGUGAGUUAUACAUUUUCUUUAGCCAAGAAACAAAUAACUCAAUAGAGAGGUGAGUUUUUUUAAUACAGUAGUAGAAGCAACCAUGACCGUUAAUCAUAAAAUAUUUCUCACCUUUGCAGUGUUGAACACUGAGGUUUUGCAGUCAGGAAGAAUGCUGAUGGACCAAGAUGGAAUAUUAUACUUCAUUCCAUUGAAAGUAACACUUGCAUAAGAAUGUGGGUUGAAAUUAGAAAGGAAUGCAGCACAUGAGCCUGACUUUGAUCUGUAUACAUGUGCCUGCAAGAAGUCGAAUGUAGAAAAGUUCCAAAAUGCAAAUCAUUGAAAAGAUUCCUGCAAAUUUUACAGCAAGAUAUAAGAAUUGAACCUCCUGAUAAUUUCCGAGUUUUGUCACUGUGGGAUCCCCAGACACAAGAGCUGGUUCACACAUUUUGAUUGCUUUAUGCAG